RNAcentral lists this ribosomal RNA (478 nucleotides) under uncultured bacterium. Its description in RNAcentral is "partial 16S ribosomal RNA". It matches the Rfam family "Bacterial small subunit ribosomal RNA", at positions 28 to 523 of the family's 1533-position model. The record is from RNAcentral.
AUUGAACGCUGGCGGCGUGCUUAACACAUGCAAGUCGAACGGUAAGGCCCUUCGGGGUACACGAGUGGCGAACGGGUGAGUAACACGUGGGUGGUCUGCCCUGCACUUCGGGAUAAGCCUGGGAAACUGGGUCUAAUACCGGAUAGGACCACUGCCUGCAUGGGUGGUGGUGGAAAGCUUUUGCGGUGUGGGAUGGGCCCGCGGCCUAUCAGCUUGUUGGUGGGGUGAUGGCCUACCAAGGCGACGACGGGUAGCCGGCCUGAGAGGGUGACCGGCCACACUGGGACUGAGAUACGGCCCAGACUCCUACGGGAGGCAGCAGUGGGGAAUAUUGCACAAUGGGCGCAAGCCUGAUGCAGCGACGCCGCGUGAGGGAUGACGGCCUUCGGGUUGUAAACCUCUUUCAGCACCGACGAAGCGCAAGUGACGGUAGGUGCAGAAGAAGGACCGGCCAACUACGUGCCAGCCGCCGCGGUAA